GACGAACGCUGGCGGCGUGCUUAACACAUGCAAGUCGAACGGAAAGGCCCCCAUCUUGGUGGGGGUGCUCGAGUGGCGAACGGGUGAGUAACACGUGGGUGAUCUGCCCUGUACUUCGGGAUAAGCUUGGGAAACUGGGUCUAAUACCGGAUAGGACCAUGGUUUAGUGUCUCAUGGUGGAAAGAUUAUUGUUUUGGUGCAGGAUGAGCUCGCGGCCUAUCAGCUUGUUGGUGGGGUAAUGGCCUACCAAGGCGUCGACGGGUAGCCGGCCUGAGAGGGUGGACGGCCACAUUGGGACUGAGAUACGGCCCAGACUCCUAUGGGAGGCAGCAGUGGGGAAUAUUGCACAAUGGGCGCAAGCCUGAUGCAGCGACGCCGCGUGGGGGAUGACGGCCUUCGGGUUGUAAACUCCUUUCGUUAGGGACGAAGCCGCACUUUUUUUGGGUGUGGUGACGGUACCUUUGUUAAGAAGCACCGGCUAACUACGUG
This 489-nucleotide ribosomal RNA is filed under the name uncultured bacterium. RNAcentral describes it as "partial 16S ribosomal RNA". It matches the Rfam family "Bacterial small subunit ribosomal RNA", at positions 28 to 507 of the family's 1533-position model. The record is from RNAcentral.